GAAAUGCGAUAAGUAGUGUGACUUGCAGAAUUCAGUGAAUCAUCGAAUCUUUGAACGCACAUUGCGCUCUCUGGCAUUCCGGAGAGCAUGCCUGUUUGAGUAUCAGUAAAUCCUCUCAAAACCCGAAUUUCUUUUUGGUUUUGGAAUUGAGUUAUCCCAUUCCAGCAAAAGGCGGGUAUUUGCGGCGGCGGGUCUUCGGAUUCUUCGUUCAGUCUUCCGCGUUUAGCACUUGGAAAAAGGGUUACUUUAAAGACAUUCGUAUGGUGGCUUCGGAC
This 275-nucleotide unclassified non-coding RNA is filed under the name uncultured fungus. RNAcentral describes it as "sequence contains ITS1". The stretch from base 1 to 105 matches the Rfam family "5.8S ribosomal RNA", at positions 50 to 154 of the family's 154-position model. Lineage: Eukaryota; Fungi. The record is from RNAcentral.